This is a long non-coding RNA of Raphanus sativus (radish), 575 nucleotides long. RefSeq lists it as uncharacterized. NCBI's taxonomy places the organism in Eukaryota, Viridiplantae, Streptophyta, Magnoliopsida, Brassicales, Brassicaceae. The transcript is spliced from 3 exons. The record is from RefSeq and is a predicted model, not a curated record.
CGCCGCCUCCACAUUAAAGUUUUCUCUUCAAUGUAAUAUAAAUCGGACCCCUAUUAUGUGUUCUUAAAAGUCGUUAAGCUUAUCGAGAGAUGAAGCUGGGUUUGUUAAUUGGUAUGAUGCUUCUCUUGUCUAUUGCACUAAUUAACCCCAGCUUUGGCCAGAGUAAUCUACUCAUCUCGCACGCUAGGAUUGGAAAGACACACAUAAACAAAGGAAGGAAAAUUCGCUUUGGAGGCAGUACUUCUAUACGUGGUGGUAGCGGAUACCACGGACCUGGUCGUCAUCCCUAAUUUUACGAGUUGUAAUAAUCUUAUCGAUCUACCCUAAAUAUCCCAUCCCAUUGUGACGAUCUGGUGCGUUGCUGUUUCACUAUGUGUGUUGUGAUCCGAUUCUCUUUGAAUAAAUGAAAUGUAACUUCUUUUGUUUGAUGGUUAAAAUUGUGUAUUGAUUGGUAAUUUGGUGUCGCAAUGUGUGUGUGUGUUUUUUUUUUAAUAAAUGUUACCCAAAUCGAUGGUUAACAUUGUAAUUUCAAGUCAUGCAAAUAUAAGGAUAGUAUAGUAAAUAAAUAAAAGUCG